Molecule: ribosomal RNA, 499 nt
Filed under: uncultured Roseateles sp.
Lineage: Bacteria; Pseudomonadati; Pseudomonadota; Betaproteobacteria; Burkholderiales; Sphaerotilaceae
Description: bacterial SSU rRNA
Rfam family: Bacterial small subunit ribosomal RNA
Source: RNAcentral
AAUUCGAUGCAACGCGAAAAACCUUACCUACCCUUGACAUGUCUGGAAUCCUGAAGAGAUUUGGGAGUGCUCGAAAGAGAGCCAGAACACAGGUGCUGCAUGGCCGUCGUCAGCUCGUGUCGUGAGAUGUUGGGUUAAGUCCCGCAACGAGCGCAACCCUUGUCAUUAGUUGCUACGAAAGGGCACUCUAAUGAGACUGCCGGUGACAAACCGGAGGAAGGUGGGGAUGACGUCAGGUCAUCAUGGCCCUUAUGGGUAGGGCUACACACGUCAUACAAUGGCCGGGACAGAGGGCUGCCAACCCGCGAGGGGGAGCUAAUCCCAGAAACCCGGUCGUAGUCCGGAUCGUAGUCUGCAACUCGACUGCGUGAAGUCGGAAUCGCUAGUAAUCGCGGAUCAGCUUGCCGCGGUGAAUACGUUCCCGGGUCUUGUACACACCGCCCGUCACACCAUGGGAGCGGGUUCUGCCAGAAGUAGUUAGCCUAACCGCUAAGGGGGG